This is a non-coding RNA of Pelobates cultripes (western spadefoot toad), 112 nucleotides long. The record is from the annotation of a GenBank genome assembly. NCBI's taxonomy places the organism in Eukaryota, Metazoa, Chordata, Amphibia, Anura, Pelobatidae.
UGGGUGGACUCUUUACAACAAUGCCUAAAUAGGCUUUCUAGCCAGUUUGAAAGGUCAGAGAAAUAUUGAUAUUUCUCUGACCUUUCAAACUGGCUAGAAAGCAUUUAACUUU